This 101-nucleotide ribosomal RNA is filed under the name Escherichia coli. The record is from RNAcentral. Lineage: Bacteria; Pseudomonadati; Pseudomonadota; Gammaproteobacteria; Enterobacterales; Enterobacteriaceae.
GUCCCAGUCCCACCUGACCCCAUGCCGAACUCAGAAGUGAAACGCCGUAGCGCCGAUGGUAGUGUGGGGUCUCCCCAUGCGAGAGUAGGGAACUGCCAGGC